Molecule: non-coding RNA, 84 nt
Organism: Desulfosporosinus lacus DSM 15449
Lineage: Bacteria; Bacillati; Bacillota; Clostridia; Eubacteriales; Desulfitobacteriaceae
Source: Rfam
UGCGAUAAUGGCAAACUCAGUGAGAACUGAGGACGCAAAGCUACGGGUCUUACAUGUAAUGUGAAGAUAGCCGGGUUAUCGAAU